AUCCGGCUGACGAGUCAUAAAUAGAACGAAAUACACAUCCUGGAU
Molecule: non-coding RNA, 45 nt
Organism: Schistosoma mansoni
Lineage: Eukaryota; Metazoa; Platyhelminthes; Trematoda; Strigeidida; Schistosomatidae
Source: Rfam